RNAcentral lists this unclassified non-coding RNA (442 nucleotides) under plant metagenome. RNAcentral's name for it is "partial contains small subunit ribosomal RNA, internal transcribed spacer 1, and 5.8S ribosomal RNA". The record is from RNAcentral.
UCUCCGUAGGUGAACCUGCGGAGGGAUCAUUAACACGUUUUUAACAAAACAAAACUAAUUAUGCCGAUAAUUCAAAUCGAUUUCAAUUUUUUUAUUUUGGUUUGAGUUAUUCGGUCUGUGAAUUUAUCAAUGAAUGGGAUUUAGUUCUUGCAGAAAGGAGUAUUCCAUCUGUUAUAACUAGAUUUUCAUUCAAUAUCCAAUUAUUUUUUAUUACAAGCCCAAGUAACAAAAAACCAAAUUGAACAGCUCGGGCUAAUAAUAAUAGUAAUAAUAUCUAGUAUUAUGACCCUACAACUGUACUAAUCCUUUUUUUUUAAUUUGUUUGUUACUUUCUUUUACCAUUGGACUCUUUUCUGAGUCUUUUGGUAGUUUGAUAUAUCAACAAAUUAAUAAUAAAAACAAAUACUAAGAACAACUCUUAGCAAUGGAUAUCUUGGUUCUC